UUGAAUUGAAGAGUUUGAUCAUGGCUCAGAUUGAACGCUGGCGGCAGGCUUAACACAUGCAAGUCGAACGGUAACAUAAAGAAGCUUGCUUCUUUGAUGACGAGUGGCGGACGGGUGAGUAAUGCUUGGGAAUCUAGCUUAUGGAGGGGGAUAACUAUGGGAAACUGUAGCUAAUACCGCGUAGUAUCGAAAGAUUAAAGUGUGGGACCUUCGGGCCACAUGCCAUAGGAUGAGCCCAAGUGGGAUUAGGUAGUUGGUGAGGUAAAGGCUCACCAAGCCGACGAUCUCUAGCUGGUCUGAGAGGAUGACCAGCCACACUGGGACUGAGACACGGCCCAGACUCCUACGGGAGGCAGCAGUGGGGAAUAUUGCGCAAUGGGGGCAACCCUGACGCAGCCAUGCCGCGUGAAUGAAGAAGGCCUUCGGGUUGUAAAGUUCUUUCGGUAGCGAGGAAGGCAUUUAGUUUAAUAGACUAGGUGAUUGACGUUAACUACAGAAGAAGCACCGGCUAACUCCGUGCCAGCAGCCGCGGUAAUACGGAGGGUGCGAGCGUUAAUCGGAAUAACUGGGCGUAAAGGGCACGCAGGCGGUGACUUAAGUGAGGUGUGAAAGCCCCGGGCUUAACCUGGGAAUUGCAUUUCAUACUGGGUCGCUAGAGUACUUUAGGGAGGGGUAGAAUUCCACGUGUAGCGGUGAAAUGCGUAGAGAUGUGGAGGAAUACCGAAGGCGAAGGCAGCCCCUUGGGAAUGUACUGACGCUCAUGUGC
This 766-nucleotide ribosomal RNA is filed under the name Parahaemophilus parainfluenzae. RNAcentral describes it as "Haemophilus parainfluenzae bacterial SSU rRNA". It matches the Rfam family "Bacterial small subunit ribosomal RNA", at positions 1 to 754 of the family's 1533-position model. The record is from RNAcentral. Lineage: Bacteria; Pseudomonadati; Pseudomonadota; Gammaproteobacteria; Pasteurellales; Pasteurellaceae.